This 295-nucleotide long non-coding RNA is filed under the name Elaeis guineensis (African oil palm). RNAcentral describes it as "long non-coding RNA (EGUI_LNC009587)". Lineage: Eukaryota; Viridiplantae; Streptophyta; Magnoliopsida; Arecales; Arecaceae. The record is from RNAcentral.
UCUGAACGACCCACUGACGCCACUACUCUCUGCAAUAAACUCCACGUGGCCACAAACGGCCCAUUACCAGACGGUUACAGACGUCACUGUCGAUCAGUUACGCUCUCCAUCUAUAAAAAGGGAUCUCUAGAUACGUUCUUCUCUAAGCUCUAAACUCCAUCUCGAAACUCUGUCAAAAUCUCAUUUAAGUGCUCCAUUUCUGUUGAAGCAGAGUACUGACUUGAGCGUCGGAGGGUCUUGCCAGAGCACCCCCAACUCCGAUCUAGACUUCCCUUGCAGGUCCCGACGACGGCCG